Molecule: long non-coding RNA, 595 nt
Organism: Cyprinodon tularosa
Lineage: Eukaryota; Metazoa; Chordata; Actinopteri; Cyprinodontiformes; Cyprinodontidae
Exons: 4
Source: RefSeq, a predicted model, not a curated record
ACAGAACAGAACUUUCCACAGUAUCCUGAUGUCAAUGCGAGUGUGUUCCCUGCAUUUUCAUUCUGGAAAACCAGCAAAUGAAAUGUACACCUCGCAUCCGGAUUGGGCACCAUCACUACACUUGGGCCACACUGAGAUAAAGGCCACACAGACUGCACGCUAUGAGAGACAGGAAAAGAGAAAACGGCAAAGGACUGACAGUACACCUGCGAGGAUGAGACAGCUAUUGAUGACCUUGUUCCACCCGUGGAGACACCAGCACCAGCUGAGGAUGGAGCUGAGCAGACACCGCUGACAGAAUGUGACUUCUGUCAGCGCCGGCGUGCUGAAAUCAACCGGCUGCUGGAGGAGAACAGGACCCUGAAACGUCUUGCACUCUCAGCGCAUUAAUGAGACUCCCCUGAAGCCAUGGGUCAUCAUUGCUGACGAUGGGCAGGUUUGCUGUGCACACUGUACAUGCAUGGCUGGAAUUGCAGAGGCAUGUACACAUGUUGGGGCUCUGCUGUUUAAGAUUGAGGCAGCAGUCCGCAUCCGUGGGAAAAAGACUGUGACAGAUGUGCCAGCUUAUUGGAAAAUACCAGCAGGUAUCAACAAA